AAAGAUGAUGAAUAUGCACUGGGCUCUGAGUUGUUGAUUUGACAGUCAACUUCUUUUUGAUGGAUAAUGCAGCCUAGAAAGCUUAAUCUGAUUC
Molecule: small nucleolar RNA, 94 nt
Organism: Brassica oleracea var. oleracea
Lineage: Eukaryota; Viridiplantae; Streptophyta; Magnoliopsida; Brassicales; Brassicaceae
Source: Rfam